AUUGAACGCUGGCGGCAGGCUUAACACAUGCAAGUCGAGCGGGGGAAGGUAGCUUGCUACUGGACCUAGCGGCGGACGGGUGAGUAAUGCUUAGGAAUCUGCCUAUUAGUGGGGGACAACAACUCGAAAGGGAUGCUAAUACCGCAUACGUCCUACGGGAGAAAGCAGGGGAUCACUUGUGACCUUGCGCUAAUAGAUGAGCCUAAGUCGGAUUAGCUAGUUGGUGGGGUAAAGGCCUACCAAGGCGACGAUCUGUAGCGGGUCUGAGAGGAUGAUCCGCCACACUGGGACUGAGACACGGCCCAGACUCCUACGGGAGGCAGCAGUGGGGAAUAUUGGACAAUGGGGGGAACCCUGAUCCAGCCAUGCCGCGUGUGUGAAGAAGGCCUUAUGGUUGUAAAGCACUUUAAGCGAGGAGGAGGCUCUUUUGGUUAAUACCCAAGAUGAGUGGACGUUACUCGCAGAAUAAGCACCGGCUAACUCUGUGCCAGCAGCCGCCGUAA
Molecule: ribosomal RNA, 503 nt
Filed under: uncultured bacterium
Lineage: Bacteria
Description: partial 16S ribosomal RNA
Rfam family: Bacterial small subunit ribosomal RNA
Source: RNAcentral